Long non-coding RNA from Glycine soja, 1420 nucleotides. RefSeq lists it as uncharacterized. The transcript has 2 exons. The record is from RefSeq and is a predicted model, not a curated record. NCBI's taxonomy places the organism in Eukaryota, Viridiplantae, Streptophyta, Magnoliopsida, Fabales, Fabaceae.
UGCUGAUUAUGUUCAGAGUGGUGUUUGUGCCCAUGUUACGCGCUGUUCUGUAUAGUUCCUUGGGUGCCACAUGAUCAGGAUUCACCGUUAUGUUCAUCUUUCCAUCCGUGUUAGCUGAGAUUUCUUGCCCUCCGGCUUUGAUUCUAUACUCUGUUUGCAAGGCAAAGCUGGUUCUGAGGGUGUACUGCAUGUUUCUUCCCACGAACUUGAAUCCAACUGCAUCCACUGUCGCUGAUGUGUAAUAAAGAUCAGUUGGCAUGGAAAGUACCUCAAUUCCAUUGAUGAAAGCGUAGGAGUAUGGUUUCGACGGAGUGAAGCUAAGGAGCAGAAUCCCACCAUCGUUGACGUUGACCACAUAUUCUCCGAAGAUGGUUUCCGUUUUUCCUGCAUCCGCAUUUAGAGAGGUGUUAAAACCUUUUAAGAGGGUGAAUUGGUUGGAUUGAACGGUGAAAGAGGCAUCAGUGCGAGGAAAGGAGGGGUAGUCGGCAGGAUAGAAGAAGAGGCGAACAAAUUUGGGGCCAGCGGUGACGGGGAAGGAGUAAUUGAAUUGAGAACGAGACAAGCGUACUGAGGUGUAGGGGACUUGUUUGACAGAAGGAGAUUGUGUUGUUGCUUCAGUUGAAACGGUGUCAUCUUGACCACCAGAUAAGUACUUUUUGUGUAUGUCCCCUGUCCAUGUCCUUUCACCGUCGAAGGAUGUCCCGGUGGUGCCGCAACUGAUGCUGAAGUUGUCUUCCGGAGUGUACGCUUGGAUGUGUGUGGAGAAGAGGAGAAAGAGGAAUAAUGCUACAGAGUUGAUACUGAGGAACCUCAUGGUUUUCGGUGAGACACUACAAGUCAGUAAAGUUGUAAAUGAUUUUUAUUAUUAUUAGCUUGUAGUUGCUAGGAAGCAUGGGAUAAAGGAACAUUCAGAGUGUUUCUUAGUCAAAGACUAUUUGAGUGCAGUUGUGGAGGUGGUACUGAGGCACCUCAUGGUAAGUGUUAAGACCCUUCAAUUCAGUGCGGUUGUGAAGACUUAUUCAUUGCCAAGUCUUAGUUGCUAGGAAGGCCCGGAGAAAGAAACGUUCAUUGUUUGUUAGUGAAAGACUAUUUGAGAAAAGUCAAGUGUCAAAACAGGGGAAAUAAAAUAUAGAAGACGGUGAUGAUGACUUUGUCGAAGGGCUAUUUGGGUGAUGAAAUUGGCAUUGUGCUUGGAGAGAGUGAGGUGGGUUGGUGGUUAAAAUUAGAGUUAGUUUAGGCAGUGCAUGGUGGAGGGCAAAACCGGAAACAUGAAAACCAAAUCAAACAAAUAUAACAAUUGGUGGUUUUGGAUAUUUGACGAAACAAUCAUGUGAUUCUAACUAAAUUGAGGAAUAUAGGGGUUGACUAAGAUUAAUGUUUGCAAUCUCUAUACGUAAAUGAUAUGAUACUUACCUGGGAA